This 1034-nucleotide ribosomal RNA is filed under the name uncultured archaeon 2MT320. RNAcentral's name for it is "bacterial SSU rRNA". It matches the Rfam family "Archaeal small subunit ribosomal RNA", at positions 19 to 1053 of the family's 1478-position model. The record is from RNAcentral.
GGAGGUCAUUGCUAUUGGAGUCCGAUUUAGCCAUGCUAGUUGCACGAGUUCAGACUCGUAGUAGAUAGCUCAGUAACACGUGGCCAAACUACCCUAUGGAUCCGAUAACCUCGGGAAACUGAGGCUAAUUCGGGAUACGAUUCAUAACCUGGAGUGGUGUGAAUCCGAAACGCUCCGGCGCCAUAGGAUGUGGCUGCGGCCGAUUAGGUAGACGGUGGGGUAACGGCCCACCGUGCCUAUAAUCGGUACGGGUUGUGAGAGCAAGAGCCCGGAGACGGUAUCUGAGACAAGAUACCGGGCCCUACGGGGCGCAGCAGGCGCGAAACCCUUACACUGCACGCGAGUGCGAUAAGGGGACUCCAAGUGCGAGGGCAUAUAGUCCUCGCUUUUUGCGACCGUAAGGUGGUCGCGGAAUAAGUCCUGGGCAAGACCGGUGCCAGCCGCCGCGGUAAUACCGGCAGCACGAGUGAUGACCGCUAUUAUUGGGCCUAAAGCGUCCGUAGCUGGCCGUGCAAGUCUAUCGGGAAAUCCGCGCGCUUAACGCGCGGGCGUCCGGUGGAAACUGCACGGCUUGGGACCGGAANACCAGAGGGGUACGUCCGGGGUAGGAGUGAAAUCCCGUAAUCCUGGACGGACCACCGGUGGCGAAAGCGCCUCUGGAAGACGGAUCCGAUGGUGAGGGACGAAUGCUCGGGUCACGAACCGGAUUAGAUACCCGGGUAGUCCGAGCUGUAAACGAUGCCUGCUAGGUGUGGCACAGGCUACGAGCCUGUGCUGUGCCGUAGGGAAGCCGUGAAGCAGACCGCCUGGGAAGUACGUCCGCAAGGAUGAAACUUAAAGGAAUUGGCGGGGGAGCACUACAACCGGAGGAGCCUGCGGUUUAAUUGGACUCAACGCCGGACAUCUCACCAGCAUCGACAAUGUGCAGUGAAAGUCAGGUUGAUGACCUUACUGGAGCCAUUGAGAGGAGGUGCAUGGCCGCCGUCAGCUCGUACCGUGAGGUGUCCUGUUAAGUCAGGCAACGAGCGAGACCC